AGAAUGAACGCUGGCGGCGUGCUUAACACAUGCAAGUCGAACGAGGCUGAGGGGGCAACUCCUCAGUUUAGUGGCGGACGGGUGAGUAACACGUGGGUAACCUGCCCGGAAGUGGGGAAUACCUCGGGGAAACUCGAGCUAAUACCGCAUGACAUCUUUAGGACGAAAGUCCUGACGAUCAAAGCGGGGUCGCAAGAUCUCGCGCUACCGGAUGGGCCCGCGCCCGAUUAGCUAGUUGGUGAGGUAACGGCUCACCAAGGCUUCGAUC
RNAcentral lists this ribosomal RNA (268 nucleotides) under uncultured soil bacterium. Its description in RNAcentral is "partial 16S ribosomal RNA". It matches the Rfam family "Bacterial small subunit ribosomal RNA", at positions 26 to 281 of the family's 1533-position model. The record is from RNAcentral.